Non-coding RNA from Myodes glareolus (Bank vole), 917 nucleotides. The record is from RefSeq and is a predicted model, not a curated record. Lineage: Eukaryota; Metazoa; Chordata; Mammalia; Rodentia; Cricetidae.
CAUGUGUGAACCUUUGUCCUCUGGGUAUAUCAUAGCUAUUGUCAUCUUGAAACCAGAACAACUAGAUUUACCCAAACCAAACUGUCACAAGACCGAGUCCACUACACUGCCCUGGAAAGAACGGAAACAGACUCCCAGGACACAGCAUGCCAACACCAUCCAUUCUGCUCUUCCCAGGAGGUCUUGACUGAGUAGCCACUGCUCUAAGGACUGGGAGGGUAGCACUGAACGGAAGAGUGGAACACUUGCCAGCACGGGUCAAAUACCAGGAAGGGAGAUUCCGAGCUGUGGAAGACUCCAAGGUCCUUUGUCUGAAGAACUAAAGGCCACCAUCGCUGACUCCGAAUCAUGUUUCUAAAACAAAGAUCUCUCAGAGCGGAGCAUCUCUCUUCUUUAUGCACCUGUGCAGGAUGCAGAGAACGGAGCAGCAGGGUGACUCGGAAUAAAAACAAACAAACCAAAGCCAUCUCCCCUGUGCUGUGCAGCUCAACAGAAGGAUGAAGCCACAUCCUGUGUGCAGAACAGCCUGAGACAUUGGUUGGACAAGCCCCGCAAAUUGACCCCAGAAGGACAUUUGGAAUGUCUGUUCCCCUGAUGCACAUUUUAAAGUAUAUUUCAUCCUUAUCUUUCCAUUUAAUGUCCCUGACAAGAAAGCACACUGUUUAGCAAUGUAAGUGCCUGGGACCAUCAGUGCUCCCCUGGCCACACUGACCGGGGUGCACAUUCUGAAGCCCCUUCUCAGCUCCGCUCAUGAUGACUUUCCACCGUGCAAGUGGACAAUAUCAGCCCCUUCUCCCCGCAAAGCACGAAAACUCAGGCAGCUCCAACCUUCAGGAGAAACUUUACCAAAAACGGAACCUGUGAGAUGGCUUCAGAGAUAAGAGCCCUUGUAAUGAAAGCCUGAGAAUGUACAUUCA